Molecule: long non-coding RNA, 1249 nt
Organism: Cucurbita maxima (winter squash)
Lineage: Eukaryota; Viridiplantae; Streptophyta; Magnoliopsida; Cucurbitales; Cucurbitaceae
Exons: 3
Source: RefSeq, a predicted model, not a curated record
GAGAACGAAACACCUUUAGUAAGGGUGUGAAAACUUUUCUCUAGUAGACACGUUUUAAAGUCUUGAAGGGAAGCCCGAAAGGGAAAGCCGCUAGCGGUGGGCCUGGGCCGUUACACUUUCUCUCCAAGUUGGUGUACCCUUUCCCAAAACAGCAUGGAGGCGUGUCUACCCGUACGUGCUUUUUCCAAAAACAGAACAAAUUUGAGCUUUACUCAUUACCAGAAAUGCAAACUUUUAGAUGUUUUAGAAAUAUCAGCCACAAAAUCUUAUGUGGUAUAAACACUGUAGAGAUCUAACUGUAUUUGCAACGGUGGGAAAUGAGUAGAAAAGCCCGUGAAGAUUUAAUAUGAACGGCUGACUUUUGCACAUUGGCAAAGAGGCAGAUAUCAUAGAGAGUUGACCACAUAUGAUCCUUUCAUAUCUCCCCCUUUAGUGCCUCUUAUUGCUUCUACUUUUUCUCUCUCUCAUCCUUUCCCACAAGAUUUUAUUAUGUCAUUCAAACAAAGUAAUGGUCCAUAGCUCUCUCCCACACACAUUUAUUAUGAAACUUCAAUUCUUGAAAUUUUUGACCUGGCUAUUGAAUAGAAUAGUUUACAAAGUUGGUUUAGAAAGGGCUAAUGCACGCUGCCUUCGUUUCUAUUGUGCAAGUCAUUGUAGUUUUACGAGAAAUAUCUACAAGAACUAGUCUAAAAUCGAGUUAUUUUUAAUUAGGAUAUGGAAGAACACUGAGUCAACUAGAUUUGGUGGUUUGAAUUAAACUGUUUCUGGGUGAUGGUGAUUUAGAUUGUAAGGUUUUGUUGAUGUCACAGAGCUUACCGAAUCAAGACAUUACUUAUCUUCUUAAAGACAGGAUGUUUGGAUUUCAUUUACCUCUAAUGAAUUCGUAAGUGAUGGCUAUGUUCUUGACCUCCUCCACUACAUCCUCAAGAAGAGAAAUCAUUAUUAGGGAAAUCCAAAUCAUUUUUAGAGGACCUACCCACGUAAGAAUCAUUGAGACACCACUAUGGUUUGCAACUUUUGGAUGCCUAUAAGUGAGGCAUGCUUAUUUGUAAUCAUUAUCAUUGUGCUUUCUUAGUUUUUUUCCUACAUUUGAUGCAACUUGUUAUGCUAGGAUUCCCUUUCCAACCCAACUCCCCACCACAAAAGGAAACACGUAGCUUAGUUUUAAAGAGACGAGAGGUAGAAAUUUGAAUCUUCAACCGUUUGAGGAGUAUGAAUAAUUUAUUUUCGUCAUUCAAGUUUUGGUUUG